GCUGGCGGCGUGCCUAACACAUGCAAGUCGAACGAGAAAGCUAUCUUCGGAAAGCGAGUACAGUGGCGAACGGGUGAGUAACACGUUGGUGACCUGCCCCGAGGUGAGGGACAACUGUGGGAAGCCACAGCUAAUACCCCAGAUGUUGAGGAGUCUAGACGUCCUUAACUAAAGUUCUGGCGCCUCGGGAGGGGCCUGCGGGCUAUCAGCUUGUUGGUGAGGUAAUGGCUUACCAAGGCUAAGACGGCUAGGGGGCGUGAGAGCGCGAUCCCCCACAAUGGGACUGAGACACGGCCCAUACUCCUACGGGAGGCAGCAGUGAGGAAUAUUGCACAAUGGGGGCAACCCUGAUGCAGCAACGCCGCGUGAACGAUGAAGGCCUUCGGGUCGUAAAGUUCUUUUCUGAGGGACGAUAAUGACGGUACCUCA
RNAcentral lists this ribosomal RNA (429 nucleotides) under uncultured bacterium. RNAcentral describes it as "bacterial SSU rRNA". It matches the Rfam family "Bacterial small subunit ribosomal RNA", at positions 35 to 482 of the family's 1533-position model. The record is from RNAcentral.